Molecule: ribosomal RNA, 451 nt
Filed under: uncultured bacterium
Lineage: Bacteria
Description: partial 16S ribosomal RNA
Rfam family: Bacterial small subunit ribosomal RNA
Source: RNAcentral
AACGAACGCUGGCGGCAGGCUUAACACAUGCAAGUCGAACGGGCAUAGCAAUAUGUCAGUGGCAGACGGGUGAGUAACACGUGGGAACCUUCCUAGAGGUACGGAACAACGCAGGGAAACUUGUGCUAAUACCGUAUACGCUCGAGAGAGGAAAGAUUUAUCGCCUUCAGACGGGCCCGCGUAGGAUUAGGUAGUUGGUGAGGUAACGGCUCACCAAGCCUACGAUCCUUAGCUGAUCUGAGAGGAUGAUCAGCCACACUGGGACUGAGACACGGCCCAGACUCCUACGGGAGGCAGCAGUGGGGAAUCUUGGACAAUGGGCGCAAGCCUGAUCCAGCCAUGCCGCGUGAGUGAAGAAGGCCUUCGGGUUGUAAAGCUCUUUUACCAGGGACGAUAAUGACGGUACCUGGAGAAUAAGCCCCGGCUAACUUCGUGCCAGCAGCCGCGGUAA